AUUCCAAAUGAUAGAAAUAGAUACUGAUAUUUGAAGAUGAUAGUACAUAAUCAGUUAAUAUGAAAUUGCUGACAUCUUACUUUCUGAAGGUAAAUAUUAUAGGUGUUCUUAUAUGUCUCAGUUGCAUGCAAAGAUGGCUCCACUUUUCUAGCUUCUCUAGGUAGAAGAUGUAGUCUCUUGUGCUACUGAUGGUGAGGCCUCUACAAUACAUGAUCUGGAAUUUUCUUCGUUGCACUCGCUCCCAGAUGGGCAAGCAAGUUUGUGGUUGCUCGCCCAGCUAAGGUCACUAAGACCCUUCUCAAGUACGUUCCAGCUCAGGAGAUACCAUCUCAAUAUGGUGGCUUCAAAAGGGACAAUGACACUGAGUUCUCCUCUGAAGAUUGUGCUGUUUCUGAACUAAUUCUUAGGGUUGGAUCCAUUGGAACCAUUCAGAUAGAUGCAGCUGAGGCUGAUAACACAUUAGUCUGGGACCUCACUGUUUUGGGCUGGGAAGUGAAUUACAAGGAGGAGUUUGGUCCUGCUGAUGAGGGCUCUUACACCAUUAUUGUUCAGAAGAGAAAAGAAAAUAGGCUCCAAUAAUGAAGGGCCUAUCCGCAACACUUUCAGAAGCAAUGAACCAGGGAAGGUUGUUCUUACAGUUGAGAAAACUUCAAGCAAGAAGAAGAGGGUUCUGUACUGGUACAAGGCGAAGAAUUGCUCCACCUUCUGAGAGUUCAACUGUGAAAGGUUGCUGCAAGUAAAUUGUUUGAGAGGGCAUUAUAUACAUAGUUAGAGCUUAUUCUUUUAGACUGGGGCAAUAAUUGAGUGAGGAUAGAGAAAUUAAUAGUUCAUUUUUUUUGGAGGAUCCAUAUGAUUCUGUAAUUUCAUAUGUUUUGAUGUGAAUCUUUUGCUUUGGGAUUUCAAUUUGGCAGACUUUGUGAGUGAAAUA
Prunus avium (sweet cherry) is the source of this 928-nucleotide long non-coding RNA. RefSeq lists it as uncharacterized. The record is from RefSeq and is a predicted model, not a curated record. NCBI's taxonomy places the organism in Eukaryota, Viridiplantae, Streptophyta, Magnoliopsida, Rosales, Rosaceae.